UACGGGGGGAGCAAGCGUUGUUCGGAUUUACUGGGCGUAAAGGGCGCGUAGGCGGUCGUGACAAGUCACUUGUGAAAUCUCCGGGCUUAACUCGGGACGGUCAAGUGAUACUGUCGGACUAGAGUACAGAAGGGGCAACUGGAAUUCUCGGUGUAGCGGUGAAAUGCGUAGAUAUCGGGAGGAACACCUGUGGCGAAAGCGGCGCACUGGACCAUAACUGACGCUGAGGCGCGAAAGCUAGGGGAGCAAACAGG
This 254-nucleotide ribosomal RNA is filed under the name uncultured prokaryote. Its description in RNAcentral is "partial 16S ribosomal RNA". It matches the Rfam family "Bacterial small subunit ribosomal RNA", at positions 524 to 776 of the family's 1533-position model. The record is from RNAcentral.